This 3689-nucleotide long non-coding RNA is filed under the name Phoenix dactylifera (date palm). Its description in RNAcentral is "long non-coding RNA (PDAC_LNC000515)". Lineage: Eukaryota; Viridiplantae; Streptophyta; Magnoliopsida; Arecales; Arecaceae. The record is from RNAcentral.
CUGCGGUGUUCUGGAACCACGAGGAGAGAGAGGGAUAGGGCCAGAGAGGAAGAAGGAGAGAGAGGUGGGAGAGGAAGAAGGAGAGAGAGGUGGGAGAGAGAAGGGCGACUUACCUGGGCUAGAGAUAGCCGGACUCGGAGGAGGUGGCCUUUGACGGAUUUGGCGAGUGAGAGAUAUUGCGAGGACGAUGAGGGGGUGAAGUCGUGACAACGACGAUGAGGCUGGUCCCUGACCUCCAUGAUGAAGGCCUUCAUCCCUAUGAGAAAGAGAGAGAGCAGCCAUGGAGCCAUGGAGGUAGGCUGACGGCGAGCAAGACACAAUGAAGAAGGGAUCGCGAGGUAGAGAGAGCUUUGGGUUAGGGUUUCAAAAGGGGGGAGGGGCAGAGCGAAGUGAAUCAAAAAUGGGGAGGAAAAUGCUUAUAUUUUCUAAAUCGAAGCCUUGAACCAUUCUGGUAACCGGCUGGUUCCAGUUCGAUCCUCCCCAAAUCGGCUGGUUUGGCACGAUUUGGCUAACCUUAGGUAAGAACAUUGAUUGUCUCAACUUAGAUCUAAGUUUAAUAUGUUAUUACGUUUAGAAUCUAUGUCAACUAAAAACCUACAACCAUAACCUGCAUAUGUGGUCGAGUUUUUGAAUCCUUGGGCUCCAAUCAUUUAUUCAUUCUGAUAAAGGGUUACCCUUGGUCUUAUUUUGAGUUUUUCAAAUUCAUUCUCAUAUAUUUUAUCCAUCUUAGCUACUUAAUAAUUAGGACUUUUCUUCUUAUUUCUAAAUCCUUGAACAAAAGUUUGAGUACCUCCCUUAUUGAAUUCUUGUAAUACUUCAGUUAUAUUCCCAUACCAUCUUAACUAGUCCUCCAUCACUAUCCUCAUUCACUUCAACCGUUCUUUCUCUUUUAAUAUACUCAUUCCUUGAUUUAUCCUUUUUAUGUUUCAGCACCUUCUUUAAACAUUUUUAUUUUGUUAAACUUGUAACUUUAUUACCGUUCCUUUUUAUUGCCCAAUAUUUUGAGCCAUACAAUAUUACAAUUCUUUUUUCAAAUCUUCUCUUAAGUUCCCAAGAUACAUGUUCAUCACAUGACAUUCUGGAAGCACCUUUCUGGUUCAACCAUCCAGCCUUAUUUCUAUUACAUAUGUCUUCAUCUCUAUCUCUACCCGCUUUUAUGUCAAGAACCUAAAUAAAAAGAAACUAGUCACACCAUUAUAUCUCUUGUUCAUCAAUCUUGAUAAUGCCCAAGGGUUUCCUCAACUGCAUAAGAAGAUUACUUCAGUUAUUGACCUUUUUCAAGAUUGCCAUCAUUUUCCUAAAUUUGUAUUCCAUGACCCAUAGCCAUAAGUUUCUAGAGUGGAUCAUUGGUUUAAUUUGAUUUAGAGCAGUUUUUUGUGGCUCCAUUAUUCUCAAAAAUGGGUACCAAAAUAUUCCUCUAAUAAUUCAAAACUCUUGGUUUUUAAGAUCUCAUUCGUAAUCUAGAAAGCUAAACUGACCAAUAACUUUCAUGAUUUUUCUCACCUCAUUGUGUUUCAUCUGCCUUAGGUUUUUGUAUGCUUUUCAAAGUUACAUCUACUUAAGUUUUUUAAUUGAAUGAAGAAAACCAUGAUGACUCCUUUAUCUAACCUCUUCUGUACAUUUUUUGGCAAAAUCCUCAUUCAAAUAUUUUUUUUCCAGAAUGACCACUCUUUGGUGUCCAUAUCUUUCAUCAAAUACUUGUGAUUCUCAUCAUUACAGUGCCUUACUUGGUCGGCAUAUCUAGAUUUUGCAUUUAUUUCAUAAAUUCCAUUUUUACUUGGAAUCUAACCUACUACAAACUAUCAUAUGCAAUAUUUUUUUCUUUUUAUAUCUUUCAAAACCCAUUAUGUCAUUUGUUUUUUUUUCCUUUUUGGUAUCGUUUAUUUUAUUGAAAGCAAGCUCUCUUUACCUUAACUGCCUCUCCCAUGCUUCUUUAUGUAUACUGCCUUUGUCUUCAGAUUCUCUAAGAACCUUUUUUAGUCACUCUCCUGAAACAAUCAAGUCUGACUAGUUCCACAUUUGUCAAAUUCCAAUUCUUUAGUUAAAAUUUUCUUCCUUUAAUAUUUUUUUUUCGUUGAGAGAUAUUACAUUUUUGUUGCUUGAAAUUUCACCAUCUUGUCUUUUGGCAUUUAGAAACUUCAAUUUUCUCUUCUUACACCUGGUAUAGACAUCUAGGACUACUAAUGCUGUGUGGUUAGGGUGUCUUCUGGUAUCAACUUAUAAUUGUCUCCUGGAAACAAUUAUCUAUCUAUGAUAAAUUUAAUCCACUCUUAGAAAUAAACAUUCAUCUCUCUUCUUGUAAUACAUAUUUGGUUUUUCUAGGUCCAAAAACACCAGAAGCUCAAGAAUUGAAUCUCCCAUGGAAUUUAUUUAGUUAAAACCCAUGUCCACCAUGUUUUCUCACAUGACCUAUGUAACUCCUUCCUGUAUACCAAUUUAAGUUAGCACCUUUUUCUUCCCAUGAAAUAUCCUGCAUUAAUCUAUUAUCUUCUUCCAAAAUCUCUCUCUCUCUUUCUCUGUGUGUGCGCGCGCGCGCGCGCACUCUCUCUUUUCUUCCAAAUCUACUUGUGGUCCAUGAGAAAUAAGGACAUUAAUAAUCUCAUCUAAACUAACUUGAUAUAUAACUAGAUUAUAUUUCUUAUCCUUUUCAAAUCUAUGAUUUGAUCCUUCAUAUCUUAAGCUCUAAUAUUAUAAUUCCUUUUCUGGUGUGGACAUCUUCUUUAUAUAACUUCUCAGAGUUGCCAAUCUUUGCCAUUCUAUAUAUUUUAUUAUAAACCAUGCUCUACGGAUUCUCUUUUGCACUAUUGCAUGGACCUUCUACUGUAUCUAGUCAAAGUUCCAACUUUUUUUCCUUUUAUUAUGGGAUUAGCUUCUUUGCAUGCCUUUGCUCUAGUUUAUGGGGUCACCUUUGCUUCUUACCAUUGGUGGCACUGUUAAACAUUUUUGGGAAAUAACCUAACACUAAUGAAUCCUUGCUCAUAUUGCACCUCAACGAAGUAUAUUAACCAGCCCAAGUUAGCAUAUGCAAUUAUUCAAUUGACAUGCUAAUCAUUUGAGGCAUACAUGUGGCAUAUAUUGGAAGGAAUCUUAUUAGCUCCUUGUAACAUUUCUUAGCCAAAUAACCAGCAAGCUUUAGUAGUUUCUUUCAGCAAAAUGUAUUUUAUGAGCUUCUAUCAAUCUUUAUUUUCUUUUAUUCUCUAGAGUACAUGUUAUUGUUCUCUUAUUAAUAUUCUUCUCUUGUUUUCCUUGCCUGAACUAAAGCGGGUGUUAAUUAUCAUAGACUUUCUCCUUCUCUGUCUAUUCCCUAAAUGAUCUCUUUAUUUCUUCCAAGUCCUAUCUUCUUUUUUCUUUAUUACUUCCUAACAAUUGUCAAUCUUUUGCUCCAACCUUGAAUCAUUGCAAUUACCAAAUUCUUGAUGGGCUAGGUGAAUUCAUAGAUGCAAAUGAGGUGAAUAUGUUGUAUUCUAAAUAUUGAUUUUGACCUUGGAGGUAAGAUAGGAAGUUGCAAUUUGAGAAAGUGUGAAGAUAUGAGAGAGUGUCCUUGAUAGGAUAGAUGACAGAUAAGUUCACAGAGUGAAUUCAUGAAUGUCGUUAAAAAGCUGCUUGAAUCCUAUAUUAAAUAUUUUGUGAUGGAUGCUAUAACCUUUUAUGUGGAAGACAUGGAACACCUUUAAAUUCACUUUACUAAG